This 153-nucleotide ribosomal RNA is filed under the name Vairimorpha ceranae. RNAcentral describes it as "Nosema ceranae partial small subunit ribosomal RNA". It matches the Rfam family "Microsporidia small subunit ribosomal RNA", at positions 353 to 505 of the family's 1311-position model. The record is from RNAcentral. Lineage: Eukaryota; Fungi; Microsporidia; Nosematidae.
UUAAGUAUAUGAGGUGAUUAAUUGGAGGGCAAAUCAAGUGCCAGCAGCCGCGGUAAUACUUGUUCCAAGAGUGUGUAUGAUGAUUGAUGCAGUUAAAAAGUCCGUAGUUUAUUUUUUUAAAACAUUAGGGUAGUAUUGGAAAAAAGGACACCA